Long non-coding RNA from Olea europaea var. sylvestris, 565 nucleotides. RefSeq lists it as uncharacterized. NCBI's taxonomy places the organism in Eukaryota, Viridiplantae, Streptophyta, Magnoliopsida, Lamiales, Oleaceae. The transcript is spliced from 3 exons. The record is from RefSeq and is a predicted model, not a curated record.
AAAAACAUACUUUAAAUUCCUCUGUAAAAGAUUCAUUUGAUUUUUUGGAAGUGACAAUCUACGCUGUCUCUGUCAUCACUACAUUUUGAACUUGUGAAAGUUGAAUGUCAUCCUUGAACAGGAAGACGGAGAAGAAAUAACUGCAAAUUCACUUCAUCCUGGAACAAUCACAACCAAUCUUUUCCGUAACCUUGGUGUUUUUGAAGGUGUUAUAAGUACAGUUGGUAAAUUUGUGUUAAAAAACAUUCCACAGGGGGCAUCAACUAGCUGUUAUGUGGCAUUGCAUCCACAAGUGAAGGGGAAAAGUGGUGAAUAUUUUUCAGACAAUAACUUGGCCGCGCCAAGCUCAAAGGCUGCAGACACAGAAUUGUCAAAAAAAUUAUGGGAAUAUAGCAUGGAUUUGAUUAGGUAAUGUUGUAUUACCGAUAUCAUGGAAGCAAAGUUUAAAGAAAAAAUAUAUUCAAUAUUGUCGUAUUGGUUUGUGUCCUUCCAUGAGGGGCGUUACUAUGGGUUAUGUAUAUGUUUUGCUGGAAAAAAAUGAGUAAAUGACUUAAUUUUGGCACAA